Non-coding RNA from Triticum urartu, 125 nucleotides. NCBI's taxonomy places the organism in Eukaryota, Viridiplantae, Streptophyta, Magnoliopsida, Poales, Poaceae. The record is from Rfam.
UAUAUACUCUCUCCGUCCGGAAACAUUUGUCGCAAAAAUGAAUAAAAAUAGAUGUAUUUAGAACUAAAAUGUGUGUAGGUACAUUUAUUUUUCCGACAAGUAUUUUCGGACGGAGGGAGUACAUA